RNAcentral lists this ribosomal RNA (744 nucleotides) under uncultured bacterium. RNAcentral describes it as "bacterial SSU rRNA". It matches the Rfam family "Bacterial small subunit ribosomal RNA", at positions 8 to 796 of the family's 1533-position model. The record is from RNAcentral.
AGAGUUUGAUCAUGGCUCAGAACGAACGCUGGCGGCAGGCCUCAAACAUGCAAGUCUAGGGGGUGUAGCAAUACAUCACCAGCGGACGGGUGCGUAACACGUGGGAAUAUACCUUUUGGUUCGGAACAACGCAGGGAAACUUGCGCUAAUACCGAAUGUGCCCUUACGGGGAAAGAUUUAUCGCCAAAGGAUUAGCCCGCGUCCGAUUAGCUAGUUGGUGAGGUAAUGGCUCACCAAGGCUCCGAUCGGUAGCUGUUCUGAGAGGAAGAUCAGCCACACUGGGACUGAGACACGGCCCAGACUCCUACGGGAGGCAGCAGUUGGGAAUCUUGGACAAUGGGGGAAACCCUGAUCCAGCCAUGCCGCGUGAGUGAUGAAGGCCUUCGGGUUGUAAAACUCUUUCGACGGGGACGAUAAUGACGGUACCCGUAGAAGAAGCUCCGGCUAACUUCGUGCCAGCAGCCGCGGUAAUACGAAGGGGGCUAGCGUUGUUCGGAAUUACUGGGCGUAAAGCGCGCGCAGGCGGUCUUCCAAGUCAGUGGUGAAAGCCCGGAGCUCAACUCCGGAACUGCCAUUGAAACUGUAAGACUUGAGGAUGAGAGAGGUGAGUGGAAUUCCCAGUGUAGAGGUGAAAUUCGUAGAUAUUGGGAAGAACACCGGUGGCGAAGGCGGCUCACUGGCUCAUAUCUGACGCUCAGGCGCGACAGCGUGGGGAUCAAACAGGAUUAGAUACCCUAGUAGUCC